Molecule: ribosomal RNA, 486 nt
Filed under: uncultured bacterium
Lineage: Bacteria
Description: bacterial SSU rRNA
Rfam family: Bacterial small subunit ribosomal RNA
Source: RNAcentral
GAUGAACGCUAGCGGGAGGCUUAACACAUGCAAGUCGAGGGGCAGCAUAGGGUAGCAAUACUCUGAUGGCGACCGGCAAACGGGUGAGUAACGCGUAUGCAACCUACCCUGUACAGGGGGAUAACCCGGAGAAAUUCGGACUAAUAUCCCGUAAUAAUAUCCGGAGGCAUCUUUGGAUAUUUAAAGUUCCGACGGUACGGGAUGGGCAUGCGUAACAUUAACUGGUUGGUAAGGUAACGGCUUACCAAGGCUAUGAUGUUUAGGGGUCCUGAGAGGGUGGUCCCCCACACUGGUACUGAGACACGGACCAGACUCCUACGGGAGGCAGCAGUGAGGAAUAUUGGUCAAUGGGCGCAAGCCUGAACCAGCCACCCGCGUGCAGGAAGACGGCCCUAUGGGUUGUAAACUGCUUUUCCAGGGAGAGAAACUUACGCACGUGUUGCGUGACUGACGGUACCCUGGGAAUAAGCAUCGGCUAACUCCGUG